CGGCGGACGGGUGAGUAACACGUGGGCAACCUACCUUGUAGAUUGGGAUAACUCCCGGGAAACCGGGGGCUAAUACCGAAUAAUCCAUUUUGCUUCAUGGCGAGAUGUUAAAAGGCGGCUUCGGCUGUCACUACGAGAUGGGCCCGCGGCGCAUUAGCUAGUUGGUAGGGGUAAUGGCCUACCAAGGCGACGAUGCGUAGCCGACCUGAGAGGGUGGAUCGGCCACACUGGGACUGAGACACGGCCCAGACUCCUACGGGAGGCAGCAGUAGGGAAUCUUCCACAAUGGACGAAAGUCUGAUGGAGCAACGCCGCGUGAGUGAAGAAGGUUUUCGGAUCGUAAAACUCUGUUGUAAGGGAAGAACACGUACGAGAGUAACUGCUCGUACCUUGACGGUACCUUAUUAGAAAGCCACGGCUAACUACGUG
This 429-nucleotide ribosomal RNA is filed under the name uncultured bacterium. Its description in RNAcentral is "bacterial SSU rRNA". It matches the Rfam family "Bacterial small subunit ribosomal RNA", at positions 96 to 507 of the family's 1533-position model. The record is from RNAcentral.